Molecule: ribosomal RNA, 432 nt
Filed under: uncultured bacterium
Lineage: Bacteria
Description: partial 16S ribosomal RNA
Rfam family: Bacterial small subunit ribosomal RNA
Source: RNAcentral
ACGCACGCUGGCGGCAUGCCUAACACAUGCCAGUCGAACGAGACCUUCGGGUCUAGUGGCGCACGGGUGCGUAACGCGUGGGAACCUGCCCUUAGGUUCGGAAUAACUCCCCGAAAGGGGUGCUAAUACCGGAUAAUGUCUUCGGACCAAAGAUUUAUCGCCUUUGGAUGGGCCCGCGUUGGAUUAGCUAGUUGGUAGGGUAAAAGCCUACCAAGGCGACGAUCCAUAGCUGGUCUGAGAGGAUGAUCAGCCACACUGGGACUGAGACACGGCCCAGACUCCUACGGGAAGCAGCAGUGGGGAAUAUUGGACAAUGGGCGAAAGCCUGAUCCAGCAAUGCCGCGUGAGUGAUGAAGGCCUUAGGGUUGUAAAGCUCUUUUACCCGGGAUGAUAAUGACAGUACCGGGAGAAUAAGCUCCGGCUAACUCCGUG